GGGAGAAACUCACAAAUAUAGGUCUGCCAAGCUUGUAGCAUCAUACCCAAGAAGACUUGAAGCUGUAAUUGCUGCCAAAGGUACUUCAACAAAUUACUGAGUAAAAGGUCUGAAUUGUUUAUUGUGGCAGAUGGCAGGGAGAGGUAGGAGGAGUGGUGAUUGAAGGAAGAUAUCUUGCAGCCGGCUGGCUCCACCCCCAAGUCUUAUAUGGACUUCCUGCCCCAACGAGGCAAGCCGGUGGAUCAUUAAGCUAUUGAGUGCUUGGGGAUAAAAGAGGAACUGGGCUGCACGAAGAGGACCGAGAGGGAAACGUGGGUUAUGGAGAGUGUGAGAAGUGAAAGAAGUAUCUGUAUGAUUACUCGUUGUGAACUGGUUGCUGGAUCCCCCCUUUCCCACCGUGUGCAAAUAUCCCUAAUACAUUUCCCAUUGGAUUUCUAGUUGUGCUCCUUGUGCGUGUUUGGUUUUUGAACUCGGUGACGUGGAAAUCCUACACCCUUGAGGCUGCUAUGGUGGAGAUUGCGGGCAAAGCAAACCAAGCUCAAUAACUAAACAAACACAGAGCAUAACGGAGGCAUUGGUGAAACAGCUGGUGGGGGCGAACAUAGAGCAACAGGCUAUGCAUUGGGAGCUGCUGGAGGAACAGCGUCAGCAGACCACUCUCCUGCGAGCUGAUCUCUGCCAGUUUACAAUGCCUUCAACCUCGGCCAGUGAGGUAGCCACCGGGCAUCCCUGCCGCUUGCUGAUGAGUGGUCCUUCCCCUGUCACCCCGGUAAGAACCAAUAGAAAGGACACCAUGCCACUUUUGGACUGACUUCGCCCAGUCCCCGAACCUGACUGACACGGUGUCCAUCACAUGCAUACACGAUGAGACCAAGGACUACCCUUCCACACUCCCACAUCUACAGACAACAAAAGGGGCCAGUGGGAGUUGUCCUGAACUUGCCAGUGCCAGUCCUUAUCGGGAGGGCUUUCCCGAUGUGCCGCCAACUGUGGACCAGUAUGUCCGGAGACAUGGGGAAACCAGGGAACCAGAUGGGUGGAGGAAGCCAGAAAGGCAGGAGGGAUGCCAGAAGGAAUGAUGCCCUGAUGUGUGGAUUCCAGGAAGUGGACCCCCAGGCAUCAACAGAACCCCUCUCUGAGGGUGACUCAGGUGAAGCAAGACUGGAGGAAGGUGAGGCGAGUCUGGACGACAUGUUCCCGAUGGACUAUGAGGUGGUGCCAGAGCCCUCCUCUCUAGCGGGCCAGUUCGGCACGGCCCAAUUGGAUGAUCCUAACCUGGCCAGCGCUCUCCAGCAGGUGGAUGUGGUGGACGGAAAGCCCAUGGAGGGUGUAAGUCAGAUCACCGAACCCCCAUUUUUCCAUAAAGAAGAAAAUUCUGUAUCAGGUUGUGAAGAAGAACGACGAAUGUAGGGAAUUGUUGUUGUUGCCCCGUCUCUUUGUACAAUCUGUCCUGCUGUUGGCACACUCCCACAUUCUUGGGGCUCACCUAAGGGUGGAGAAGACCUUAGACCGGAUCAAGGUACAAUUGUACUGGCCGCUCUGCGAUGAUUUUAGAAAGUUAAAUGAAAUCUCAAAGCUCAACGCCUACCCAAUGCCCGGAAUUGAUGAACUUAUAGAACGGCUAGGAAACGCCUGAUUUUCAGCACCCUUGACCUAUUGAAGGGUUAUUGGCAGGUGCCCUUAGCUCCAGAGGCUAUGAGAAAACUGCUUUUGCCACCCCUGAUGGGCUGUUCCACUACAGAAAGCUGCCCUUUGGGUUGCACAGGGCCCUGGCCACCUUCCAGAGUUUUAUGGAACGGGUUCUCCAUCCACAUCGCGAGUACACGGUAGCCAACCUCGAUGAUAUUGUAAUCCAUGGGUGCGAUUAAGAGACCCAUCUAAACCAGGUGAGCGGGGUCUUGCAGGCUUUACGGGGGCGGUGCUAACAGUUAACCCAAGGAAAUGUCAGCUCAGCCUGCGGGAGGCUUAGUACCUGGGGUACACGAUCGGAAGGGGAUGUGUAAAACCCCAGGUGAAGAAAGUGAAGGCGAUUUGGGACUGGCCCCACCCCCUCACCAAGAAGCAAAUACUUACAUUUGUGUGACUAUUUAUCACUUGAGAUUUAUCCCCCACUUUGACUCCCUAGCCAGCCCCCUGACAGAUCUGACCAGGAGCCGUCUGCCCGCCCUGGUGACGUGGAUCGAGGAGACGGAGAAAGCCUUCCAGGACGUGCUGGUGACCCCGAACAUCUCCAUACCACUGGUGGUACAGACCAAUGAGUCAGAAACAGGGGUGGGUGCCAUCCUAUCACAGCUACAAGAAGAUCAGGUGCAGCCCAUGGAAAUGCCGAUGUACUCUCUAGGAGGGAUGUUUAAGGGAGCCGGACCGCCCCUCCCUCCCGGUCGGAGCUGAGGGGGGGCAGAUGGCAGGGAGAGGUGAGGGUAAGGGGAGUGGUGAUUGAAGGAAGAUAUCUUGUAGCCUGCUGGCUCCACCCCUGAGCCUUAUAUGGACAUCCUGCACCAACAAGGCAAGCCGGUGAUUCAUUAAGCCAUUGAGUGCUUGAGGAUAAAAGAGGAAGCGGGCUGCACAAAGAGGAAUAGGACCGAGAGGGAAACACGGGUUAUGGAGAGUGUGAGAAGUGGGAGAAGUAUCUGUAUGAUUACCCGUUGUGAACUGGUUGCUGGAACCCCCCUUUCCCACCGUGUGCAAAUAUCCCUAAUAAAUUCACCAUUUGAAUUCUAGUUGUGCUCCCUGUGCGUGUUUGGUUAUUGAACUUGGUGACGUGGAAACCCUACCCGCUUCAGCCUGCUACAUAAUGUAAAUGUAAUAUUUCAGUUUUUUAUAUUUCAUACAUUUGCAAAAAAAAAGAAAAAAAAAGAAAUCUUGGUCAUUAUGGGGUAUUGUGUGUAGAUUGUUUCAGAAAAAAAACAAUUGAAUCUAUUUUAGAAUAAGUCUUUAACCUAAAAUGUGGAAGA
Molecule: long non-coding RNA, 2954 nt
Organism: Oncorhynchus tshawytscha (Chinook salmon)
Lineage: Eukaryota; Metazoa; Chordata; Actinopteri; Salmoniformes; Salmonidae
Source: Ensembl